UACGGGGGGGGGCAAGCGUUGUUCGGAAUUACUGGGCGUAAAGGGCGCGUAGGCGGCUCAUGAAGGCUGUGGUGAAAGUCCGGGGCUCAACCUCGGAUCGGCCGUGGCGACUCGUGGGCUGGAGCACUGUAGAGGCAGGUGGAAUUCCGGGUGUAGCGGUGGAAUGCGUAGAUAUCAGGAGGAACACCGAUGGCGAAGGCAGGUCUCUGGGCAUUAACUGACGCUGAGGAGCGAAAGCAUGGGGAGCGAACAGG
This 254-nucleotide ribosomal RNA is filed under the name uncultured bacterium. RNAcentral's name for it is "partial 16S ribosomal RNA". It matches the Rfam family "Bacterial small subunit ribosomal RNA", at positions 524 to 776 of the family's 1533-position model. The record is from RNAcentral.